UGGUGUUCUCAGGGCGGGGUGCAACUCCCCACCGGCGGUAUCGAGGCAACUCGGAGCCCGCGAGCGCCUUCGUGGAUAACGGAGGGUCAGCAGAUCCGGUGAGAUGCCGGAGCCGACGGUUACAGUCCGGAUGGAAGAGAGCAAUG
This is a regulatory RNA element of Rhizobium tibeticum, 146 nucleotides long. It matches the Rfam family "FMN riboswitch aptamer (RFN element)". Rfam says of the family: The RFN element is a highly conserved domain that is found frequently in the 5'-untranslated regions of prokaryotic mRNAs that encode for flavin mononucleotide (FMN) biosynthesis and transport proteins. This element is a metabolite-dependent riboswitch that directly binds FMN in the absence of proteins. The record is from Rfam. NCBI's taxonomy places the organism in Bacteria, Pseudomonadati, Pseudomonadota, Alphaproteobacteria, Hyphomicrobiales, Rhizobiaceae.